ACGGCCAGUAACACGUCGAUAUCCCUGACCUUCGGACUGGGAUAACUUCGGGAAACUGAGGGACAAUACUAGAUAGGGAAUGGAGGCUGCAAUGCGCCAAUCCUCAAACCUUACGGCCGAAGGAUGAGUUGGCGGCUGAUUAGGUAGUUGGCGGUGUAACGGACCACCAAGCCCAAGAUCAGUAGGGGCCUUGAGAGAGGGAGCCCCGAGAAGGGCACUGAGACACUGGCCCUAGCCCCACGGGGUGCAGCAGGCGCGAAAACUCCACAAUGCACGAAAGUGUGAUGGGGGAAUCCCGAGUGCUCGUGUUUUGCACGGGCUUUUGCCACAUGUAAAUAGUAUGGCGAAUAAGUGGUGGGCAAGACUGGUGCCAGCCGCCGCGGUAACACCAGCGCCACAAGUGGGGAUCACAUUUAUUUGGCCUAAAGCGUUCGUAGCCGGCUGUGUAAAUCUCUUGUGAAAUCGCUCGCCUCAAUCGAGCGACGUGCAGGAGACACUGCAUAGCUUGGGACUGGGAGGAGUCAGGGGUAUGCUUCGGGGAGCAGUAAAAUGCUAUAAUCCGAUGUAGACCACCGGUGGCGAAGGCGCCUGACUAGAACAGAUCCGACGGUGAGGGACGAAAGCUAGGGGAGCAAUCCGGAUUAGAUACCCGAGUAGUCCUAGCCGUAAACGCUGUGAGCAAGGUGUUGCGCAAUCUUCGAGAUUGCGCAGUGUCGAAACGAAGGUAUUAAGCUCACCGCCUGGGAAGUACGGUCGCAAGACUGAAACUUAAAGGAAUUGGCGGGGGAG
RNAcentral lists this ribosomal RNA (789 nucleotides) under uncultured archaeon. RNAcentral describes it as "bacterial SSU rRNA". It matches the Rfam family "Archaeal small subunit ribosomal RNA", at positions 83 to 876 of the family's 1478-position model. The record is from RNAcentral.